This 254-nucleotide ribosomal RNA is filed under the name uncultured bacterium. RNAcentral describes it as "partial 16S ribosomal RNA". It matches the Rfam family "Bacterial small subunit ribosomal RNA", at positions 524 to 776 of the family's 1533-position model. The record is from RNAcentral.
UACGUAGGAGGCGAGCGUUGUCCGGAAUUACUGGGCGUAAAGAGCGCGUGGGCGGCACUGUACGACCGCUGUGAAAGCCCCCGGCUCAACUGGGGAGGGUCAGUGGUAACGGCAGAGCUGUGAGUGCAGGAGAGGGAAGUGGAACUCCGGGAGUAGCGGUGAAAUGCGUAGAGACCCGGAGGAACACCAGUGGCGAAGGCGGCUUCCUGGUCUGCGACUGACGCUGUGGCGCGAAAGCUAGGGGAGCGAACGGG